CCUCCCCGUCUGACAUCUCCUUCAACAUCACCUGUACAACACAGAACAUUAUUCUGUUCAACACGGCUGUCAUCUGUUUAGCCUAGCUAGCUACUUCAGCACAUAUUAACUGCAGCUCUCCACAUCUCCACACAUUAAGUGCAGCUCUCCACAUAUUAACUUCUCGCUCUUUUUAGUCAAAAUAGACCAAAGUGACCAAUUAGACAAAAUAAAUGUCAAUCAGUCCAGCAGAGAAUGUCACAAAGGAUGUUAUAACAUAUAAAAUGUUAAAACAAAAUGUCAGGUGGUACAGAACAUCAAUCAGUCCAGCAGAGAAUGUCACAAAGGAUGUUAUAACAUAUAAAAUGUUAAAACAAAAUGUCAGGUGGUACAGAACCAUAAUUAUACACAGCUACAUUAGCUGAGAUAAUCAGAAAUCCAGAGAACUCAGAAAGAGCCCAAAAAUUACAUCAUGGCAUCAAAAAAGACUGCCAAAAAAAGUACAAACAUCAAACAGAAAACAUCAAAGCAUUCAAGCCUCCAAGCAUCCAGAACACACAUCAUUAUAACAGGGGGACCAUCAUCACCACAACUCAGUCUGAGGAGCUAGCAUCUUCUUCACCUUCAGAUCCAGAACUGCCACUAGAUUUGUCUUGAGAAUCAGACCUCUCACUUGAGGUGUGGGCAUCUAUUUCCUUGGCUUCACCAACAUUAUCCAUCUCUCCUUGCUCCAAGCUACUAAUUAGAACCUCUAAAGCCUCUUUCCUAGCCUUAGCCACCCGAAUCCCAGUCUCCAAUUCCUUAUAGGUUUCGUUCAAUUCAGCAAUCAGGCCACCUUGAGAGGUUGGCUUCUUCAUUGCAGAUGUCAUGACAAUGUCAUUGACAUGACUGCCUUCAAAUAACUUGUAAUGAAUUGACAAUGGAGACUUCCUUCUACUGAGGAUAUCACUUGUGCUUAAAAUACCAGGUUGCUGGCUUAGAAUUAUCCCACAAAUAAUUGAGGGAAAGGCAAUUGGCAGCUUUACUGCAUUAGUGGAAGCAUGUAUAACAAUUUGUUCAAACAUGAACCUUCCAUAAUCAAAGUUGAGUCUGGUUCCAAUAGCAUAUAUUAUCCUUCCAAGAGCAUUAGAGAUUGUUGAGAUGUGGUUUGUUGGUACACAGUUGGCUGACCCUAUCUUAUGCAAGAUAUCAUAUUUUACAGUUAAUUUGCCAGCAGAGAGAUGCUUUUUGCUUGGCCAUUCCUUGACUUGUCCAACAAUGAUUGUCCUACAGGCUUCUGUUUGUGGCCUCUAAUUCAACAUCACCUUAUGUUCCUAUUCCUAGGAACUUAUUGAUUAUAGUAGGGGAGAACCUUACACACCUUCCUCUAACAAACACUUUGCAAAACUCUUUGUUGUUCUUGUCAGCAAUAUCCUCUGGGAUGUUCACCACGAACUCCUUCACAAGACCUUCAAAACAUUAGGGUAAUACACUAACUGUUUUCAUUAAACCAGCAGACUUGAUCAACUCCAUAACCUCCUUUACUUCCACAACAUCCUUCCCUAGUUCCCUUUCCACACCAACUCUCCUCUGUAUCACAAAUUUCCACUUGGCUGCACCAUCUUCCAGAUGGAAGGAAAUGUUAUCCAAAUGCACAGCAGCAACCUUGGCAGGGGAUUUUCUAACAAUUUGCUUUUUGGCAAGAGAGAUGUCUGGGACAUCGUCUUCAACAUCAUCCUCAGAAUCAGAACUUUCUCUGACCUUUCUCUUCUUGACUUCCACUUUACUCCAUGACUUUGAAGGACCUACAACAGUAGCCUCCUUACUAGUUAUGGUUGUCAUCAUCUCAGCCACAAAUCUGCCUUUCCUGGUCUUCAUUCUCUUUGCAACACUUGGCUUCAAGUGAUGAAGCAAGGUGUCAUCUUCCUCAUCUGAUCUCUCUUCUUCCAAAUCAAUCACCUUCUCAGCAGUGUCAUGCUUCUUAGACUGAGAGGCAUCUACAGGUUUCUUACUAGGCAUGGUUUUCCCUAAAGAGCACAGUCCUUCUGCAGCAAUAUCUUUCUUUGACCUAGAUGAAUCAUCAUCUUUCUCAUUUUUAGGUUCCACCUCAGGUGAGGGGUCCCUUCUAGACAGAGGAGUCAAACUCCCUUGACUGAGUGUCCUUCAUUUAGGAUCCUUGUGACCAGAUUCCUAAUGACACGAUCAGUAUAAUGCAUGUCAUCCUUAGAGGGAGGGUUAUCAGAACUAUUACCUUGAUUAUUUCCUGCAGUGGANNNNNNNNNNNNNNNNNNNNNNNNNNNNNNNNNNNNNNNNNNNNNNNNNNNNNNNNNNNNNNNNNNNNNNNNNNNNNNNNNNNNNNNNNNNNNNNNNNNNNNNNNNNNNNNNNNNNNNNNNNNNNNNNNNNNNNNNNNNNNNNNNNNNNNNNNNNNNNNNNNNNNNNNNNNNNNNNNNNNNNNNNNNNNNNNNNNNNNNNNNNNNNNNNNNNNNNNNNNNNNNNNNNNNNNNNNNNNNNNNNNNNNNNNNNNNNNNNNNNNNNNNNNNNNNNNNNNNNNNNNNNNNNNNNNNNNNNNNNNNNNNNNNNNNNNNNNNNNNNNNNNNNNNNNNNNNNNNNNNNNNNNNNNNNNNNNNNNNNNNNNNNNNNNNNNNNNNNNNNNNNNNNNNNNNNNNNNNNNNNNNNNNNNNNNNNNNNNNNNNNNNNNNNNNNNNNNNNNNNNNNNNNNNNNNNNNNNNNNNNNNNNNNNNNNNNNNNNNNNNNNNNNNNNNNNNNNNNNNNNNNNNNNNNNNNNNNNNNNNNNNNNNNNNNNNNNNNNNNNNNNNNNNNNNNNNNNNNNNNNNNNNNNNNNNNNNNNNNNNNNNNNNNNNNNNNNNNNNNNNNNNNNNNNNNNNNNNNNNNNNNNNNNNNNNNNNNNNNNNNNNNNNNNNNNNNNNNNNNNNNNNNNNNNNNNNNNNNNNNNNNNNNNNNNNNNNNNNNNNNNNNNNNNNNNNNNNNNNNNNNNNNNNNNNNNNNNNNNNNNNNNNNNNNNNNNNNNNNNNNNNNNNNNNNNNNNNNNNNNNNNNNNNNNNNNNNNNNNNNNNNNNNNNNNNNNNNNNNNNNNNNNNNNNNNNNNNNNNNNNNNNNNNNNNNNNNNNNNNNNNNNNNNNNNNNNNNNNNNNNNNNNNNNNNNNNNNNNNNNNNNNNNNNNNNNNNNNNNNNNNNNNNNNNNNNNNNNNNNNNNNUCGAUGAAGUUUGAGGAAGAUGGAAGUGGUUGAGCUGAGGUUGCGUGUGAAAAUGCUAUAGAUGGUAGUUCCAAUACUAGGUAAUGAUUUACCAUAAAUGGGGCACUUUCUUUUAAGUGGGCAGACAAUAUUUUUAUUACCUUUUCCACUCCAAAUUAAUUGCUAUAAAUUCUCAUGGAUACAAAUCCCUAAUUUCCCUCUUAAACAUUCAAAUUGAUUAGCAUCCAAAGCCUUUGUAAAUAUGUCAGCUAAUUGCAUUUCAGUAGUAACAUGCUUCAGGGCUAUGAUUUUCUCUUCCACUAGUUCUCUAAUAAAGUGAUGUCGAAUAUCAAUGUGCUUUGUCCUGCUGUGCUGAAUAGGAUUCUUAGAAAUAUUUAUAGCACUCAGGUUGUCACAGUACAAUGUCAUGACAUCUUGUGUGACAUUGUAUUCAAUCAACAUUUGUUUCAUCCAAACCAAUUGAGAACAACUACUCUCAGCUGCUAUGUAUUCAGCUUCAGCAGUGGAUAGGGACACACAAUUUUGUUUCUUGCUAAACUAUGAUAUCAAGUUGUUCCCCAAGAAGAAACAUCCUCCUGAUGUGAUUUUCCUAUCAUCAGUACUUCCAGCCCAGUCAGCAUCACAACAUCCAGUCAGCAUGGAUCCAGAACCAUGAGUAUAUAACAUUCCAUAGUCACUGGUGCCAUUGACAUAUUUCAGUAUCCUCUUCACUUGGUUUAUGUGACAUACUUUUGGUUUAGCUUGAUAUCUAGCACAAACACCUACAGCAAAGGCAAUGUCAGGUCUACUUGCUGUGAGAUAUAGCAGACUUCCUAUCAUGCUCCUGUACAAACUUUGAUCUACACUAACACCAUUUUCAUCUUUGGAGACUUUCAAAUGUGUAGGAGCAGGUGUCCUUUUAUGACUUGCAUUCUCCAUGCCAAACUUCUUAACAAUGUUCUUGGCAUAUUUUCUUUGAGAUAGAAAGAUAAAAUCUUCCAUCUGCUUGACUUGUAGCCCAAGGAAAUAGGUCAGCUCUCCAACAAGGCUACUCUCAAACUCAGACUGCAUUUGUCUAACAAAAUGUUCGACCAUCUGAUCUGACAUCCCACCAAAUACAAUAUCAUCCAUAUAUAUUUGAGCCACCAUGAGUUUUCCUCCUUCAUUCUUAACAAAUAGGGUUUUGUCAAUACCUCCCUUCCUGUAUCCAUUGUUAGUGAGGAACACUAUAAGUCUUUCAUACCAAGCCCUAGGAGCUUGUUUCAAACCAUAUAGGGCUUUCUUCAAUCUGUACACAUGCUUUGGAAGAUUUGGAUAUGUGAAUCCUUUAGGUUGUUCAACAUAUACUUCCUCAUUUAAGUAUCCAUUCAAGAAGGCACCUUUUACAUCCAUUUGGAACAAUUUGAACUUCAGAAUACAUGUCAAUCCAAGCAAAAGUCUAAUGGACUCAAGGCGAGCUACAGGGGCAAAUGUUUCAUCAAAAUCCACUCCUUCAACUUGAGUAUAUCCUUGUGCUACUAAUCUUGCUUUGUUUUUAGUAACCACCCCUUGUUCAUCAGAUUUAUUCUUGUACACCCACUUUGUACCUAUGACAUUUAUUCCUUCAGGCCUAGGAACCAGUUCCCAUACUUCAUUCCUCUUGAAUUGACCUAACUCCUCCUGCAUGGCAUUGAUCCAGAACUCAUCAGUCAAGGCUUCCUUGACAUUCCUAGGCUCAAUCUUAGACACAAAGCAACCAUGUGAGAUCACUUCCCUUGAUCUAGUUCUGACCCCUUUAUUUGGGUCUCCUAUAAUGAGAUCUUUGGGAUGAUCCCUCUGAAUUCUGAUGGAGGUUCGUUGUUGAUUUUGUCAUCUUCAGGUUCAGCUUGAAGAGGUUCACUCUCAUUAUUUUUGUUUAAGAAAUCAGCUGAGGGAUCAUUUAGAGAUGUCUCAACAUCGUCUGUGACAUCAGUCUGUUGAUCAUUAACCACCACAUUGAUAGAUUCCAUCAUUACUUUUGUUCUGGAAUUAAAGACUCUAUAUGCUCUCUUGUUUGUUGAGUAGCCCAAAAAUAUUCCUUCAGCAUUUUUGGGAUCCAUCUUCCUUCUUUGUCCACGAUCAGUCAAGAUAUAACAUUUACUACCAAACACAUGGAAGUAUUUGACUGUAGGUCUUCUCCCUUUCCAGACUUCAUAUAAGGUAGUAGGAGUCCCUUUCUUCAAGGUUACUCUAUUGUGAACAUAGCAAACUGUGUUCAUAGCUUCAGCCCAAAAGUGGAAGGGCAAUUUCUUAGCAUGAAUCAUAGCUCUGGCUGAUUCUUGAAGGGUUCUAUUUUUCCUUUCCACCACACCAUUUUGCUGGGGAGUAAUGGGAGAUGAGAACUCAUGAUGAAUUCCUUCUGAAGAACAGAAUUCAGCAAAUUUGUUGUUCUCAAAUUCCUUCCCAUGAUCACUUCUAAUUUUGAUAACUUGACUUUCCUUUUCUCUUUGAAGUUUUAGACAAAGAUCUUUGAAGACUUCAAAAACAUCAGAUUUUUCUCUUAUAAAAUUGAUCCAGGUGUAUUUGGAGAAGUCAUCCACCACUACAUACGCAUACCUCUUCCCACCAAGGCUUUCCACCUGCAAUGGUCCCACCAAAUCCAUAUGGAGGAGUUCUAGUACUUUGGAAGUGGUGUCAUGUCUGAGCUUCUGGUGUGACAUCCUUGUCUGUUUUCCAAUCUGACAUUCCCCGCAGACUUUUCCUUCAUGAAUCUUCAAGUUGGGAAUUCCUCUAACAACUUCAACGAAUAUAAUCCUAUUCAUACCUUUAAGAUGCAGAUGGCCCAAUCUUUGAUGCCAUAUCUUCACUUCUUCUUCUUUGGCUAAAGUACACAUUGAAGAAUAACCAGUUUCUUGAGAACUCCACAUGUAGCAGUUGUCUUUAGACCUGACUCCUUUCAUGAUCACUUCAUUUUCUUUGUUAGUAAUCAGACAUUCAGUUUUGGUGAAGUUCACGAUUAGACCUUGGUCACAUAGUUGACUGAUGCUUAUAAGGUUUGCAGUCAGUCCCUUAACAAGUAGGACAUUGUCAAGAUUAGGAACUCCAGGGAAGUUGAGCUUACCAAUUCCCUUGAUUUCACCCUUUGCUCCAUCAUCAAAGGUUACAUAACUGGUGGCAUGAGGAUGAAGGCCAGUUAGCAGGUUUUUGUUUCCAGUCAUGUGUCUGGAGCACCCACUGUCAAAAUACCAAUCUUCUUUGGCUGAAACUCUGAAGGAAGUGUGAGCUAUCAGACUUCUAACAUCAGUCCUAGGAACCUGUUGUUUUUUGUUGACAGGUCUGUGAUGUUUGGGUUUAGGUUGAUGAUGAGAGGGACUAGGAUAGCCAUACAAUUUAUAGCAGAAUGGUUUUAUGUGGCCAUGUUUUCCACAGUAAUGACAUCUCCAUCUUUGAUGUUUCCCUUUCUGAUGUCUUCCUUUAUGAUGUUGUGACAUAUCAUGUGACAUCUCUGGUUUGCUCCCAGUGUGACUGCACUUGGGUUUGAGCUUUGGUUUGCUACCAGUGUGGCUGCACUCUGGAUUAGAUUCAUUGAACCCAAUGCCAAACUUAUCUCCUAUUAUUUGUCCACACUUCUGCACUUCUGUGGCACAACUUUCUGUAGGUAGUGGCCAACUCUUCAAAGGUUACUUCAUCAUCACUUGAGUCUUCAUCAGAACCCCAUCUUCCAUUCAAGGCAGUCACAAGAUUUGCAGACUCUUCUGUUUCACUUUCAUCAAACCAAGAGGCAGCAAGACUCCUCUUGUGUUUCUUGAGGCAGGUUCCAUAUUAAGUUCUAAUGUGUCAAUACCCAUCACAUUCAUGGCACUGAACUCCUUUUCCUUCUUUGGGCUUUUCAUCUGAUCUUGUUCUUCUUCCAACAUUGUUGGAUUUACUGAUGUCAGAUGAGAUGUUCUUGACAUUAGCCUUAUACCUUACAUCCAUCUUUUUCAGAAGUCUGUUGAACUGUCUUCCCAGCAUUGCUACAUCAUUUGCCAGAUCUUCAUCAAUAUCUUGACCACUUUCCUCCUCUUCCUCCUCAGUGUUUGACAUGAAGGCUAUGCUUUUGACUUUCUUUUCAGAUCCAUCACACAUUCCCAUCUCAAAUGUUUGGAGGGAUCCAAUUAUCUCAUCCACUCUCAUAUUGGAAAUGUCUUGAGACUCUUCUAUGGCUGUCACUUUCAUGGCAAAUCUCUUAGGGAGUGACCUGAGUAUUUUCCUCACUACUUUUCAUCUGACAUCUUCUCACCCAGGGCUCCUGAGGCAUUAGCAAUUUCAAGGAUAUUCAUAUGAAAUUCAUGAAUAUUUUCAUCUUCUUUCAUCCUUAAAUUUUCAAACUUGGUAGUGAGCAGCUGCAGUCUAGACAUCUUCACUCUAGAGGUGCCUUCAUGAGUGGUUUUGAGAAUGUCCCAAGCAUCUUUAGCCACUUCACAGUUGUUUACCAAUCUGAAGAUAUUCUUAUCUACUCCAUUGAAUAUAGUAUUCAAUGCUUUAGAGUUCCCAAGGGCUAAAUCCUCCUCCUCCUUGGUCCAUUGUUCUUCAGCCUUUUUAUCAGUAAUGGCUUCUCCAUCCUUAGUAAUAACUGGAUGUUCCCAGCCUGUUAAAAUAACCUUCCAAGCCUUAUUAUCCAGAGAUUUUAGAAAGGCUACCAUUCGAGGUUUCCAGUAGUCAUAGUUGGAUCCAUCCAGAAUAGGUGGUCUGUGAACAGAUCCUCCAUCUCUCUCCAUAGUACCAGAAAGUAACAUCCCUAGAUCUCACCCAGAACCAGGGCAGGAUGCCUGCUCUGAUACCAAUUGAAAUUCUGGUAUCAGAUAUGAGAUAUCGAAGGUAAUGUCACGACACUAAUAUCUGAACAAUACAAACAGGAUAAAAGAUAAAGAAUAGUAAUGCAAGAGACACAAGCAAUUGUUAACCCAGUUCGGUGAAAACUCACCUACGUUUGGGGGCUACCAAGCCAGGAAGGAAAUCCACUAAAUAGAAUCAGUUCAAAGACUCUCAGUAAACAGCUUCAAGUUACAGUCUUUUCACCUAAUCUCUACCCGUGUGACUUCUACCUAAGACACCUUAGCAUAUGAGAUCUCACUCACCCCCCCCCCCCCCUCAUCACACCUGUGAUAUAAAACAUGGAAUUACAAUGAAAAUAAGACACUCUUCAAAGACACACCUUGAUCUUACUUAACACUUCAAUCAAGUAGACACACACUCUAUGCUUAAAAGACUUAGAGUGACAAAUUACAACUCAAAAAUCAGACCAAUUCAAUCAUUUAUGGAUGAAUUGAAUGGCUUACAAUUCACACAACCACACAAGACUAAAACCCUUAUUCUCUCUCAAUAUUUCGUUUGUUAUUUCUUGUGUAUCAAAUCAGGUUUUCCAUGUCCUUUUUAUAGAAGCAUUUGGCUGGGCUUAGACAUCAUAAAACCCUAAAACUAUUUUCCAUUCAUAUCUUUUCAUGACAGUUGAUUAGAUCUCUUUGGAAAAUAAGUUAAUCCCGUUGUAAUUACUUAUUGAUAGCGUGUUCAAUCAUCUCAUCAAUCAAACAUAGAUUUGCAUUCAAAAUGCAAUCACAUAAUAUAUAACAUUCAGACUGAAUGUUCUAUAUACAGAUGUCAUGACAUCGGGUCUGACAUCUUAGUAAAAUCCUGCAUAAUCACAUUUUAAACAUCCAGCAGGUACAUGUUAUCUUAUGUUAAGACAACACAUGUGACAAUUAUGAACACUCUAGGUUUUACCAAAAUUGUUGCCAACACAAGAACCAGCAGUCUUAAACCCUAGAUGUUUGCUUGAUAGAUCAAAGGUGAGCACAUGCCCUACCUACAAAAGAGUUAGUGUAUACAAAGACAUAUAUUUUUUUUGGUAUUUUGGUUAGUGAAUGAUAAAGAUGCAAAGUAUGAUACAAUCAAAUGGUGCUUGGUGAUCUCUCCUAAUGCAAACCCAGUGAAUGAGGGGUAAGGAGGAUGCCAAUAUGUGAUCCCAAUGCUUAUGCAUAUGAUGAGAAAGCAUGAGGGAUCUUAGGGUCAAAAUUGGGGUCUUACACGUAUUAUUUUAGAACAACUUUUAAUUUUCGCAUCCAAACACAACCCCCUAUUUGUUACUCUUUAUACUUGCACAACUAUUAUUUUAUUAAAUAGCAUUACCUGUAAAAUCAAUAUCUUUUUAUUACUACGACACUAUCGAUACACUUGUCUAGAAGUCAUCAAGUUUUUGGCGCCGCUUCCGGGGACUAUUGAUAAUUUCAACAAGGCAACACUUAUGCAAUGUUUGUUUAUUUUGUUUUUGUUUUCUCAUAAAUUGUUUAACUACAAUGCUACUGAGGUAUUUCUUGUUUGUGUAUGUGCAACUCAGGAUCGACAUUGACACCGUUUGAUCCCAAAAUUGAAAGGACUGCACGUGCCAUCAGGAGAGAGGUUAGAGAAGUGACUACAACUCAAAGGACCUUUGUCAAAGACAAUUCAUUGAUUUCUCCGGACUCUGAAGAGGAAAUCAUCAUGGCAUUCGUACCACCACCUAUUAUGGGGGACUACUGCAAAAGGACUCACUGAGGACAUGUUUCUAGAGGGUUUGUACCGGCAAACCCCGCUAACUUUGACAUAAAGAAUUAUGUGCUUUCGGGUUUGAGAGACAAUUCAUUCAAUGGAAACGCAAUUAGAGAUAAGUGGGAGCAUCUUGCUCGCUUCUACGAAACAACCUCGAUGUGCAGGCCAACUGAGGUCACGAAAGAUCAAGUCAAGUUGAGGUUGUUUGGGUUCUCACUGAUUGGAAGAGCUAAAGAUUUGUUGCUUUGCCUUCCAAAUGGAACUAUACAGACAUGGAAAGAGAUGGAAAACAAAUUCUUGGAGAGAUUAUUCACCACCACUCUCUUUGCUGAGUGAAGAGUUGAAAUCCCAAAUUUUGAGCAGCAUGAAACUGAAUCUUUGUAUGACUCAUGGGAAAGGUUUAAAAUUUUAUUACGCAUGUGCGCAAAUCAUAACAUGAAUAACAUGGAGCAAAUGCAUAGUUUUAUCAAAGGUCUCACGAGUCAAACACACAUGUUUCUAGAUGCUUCUGCGGGAGGCACGAUCAGAAUAAUAACCAAACCACAAGUUAAAGACCUGAUAGAAAAUAUGUGCUUGAAUGAAUAUUGUUCAAAGAGUGAAAGGUCAGUAAAAAUUGAAACGGUAGGAACACCAAAAGGUAUGUUAUCUAUUGGUACUCAUACUGCAUUGUUAGCACAAAUUGAAUUAUUAAAUAAAAAGCAAGUUGAAAGCAGCUUGAGUAAAACUAUUGUGAGUUAGAAAUAAGUGUUGAGAUGUAAUUUUUAUGGAGAGGGUCAUGCAAAUGGAAGGUGCUUUUUGGAAGGAUUGAGUGAAGAAACUCAAAUUUUAAAUUUCCAAAAAAAUAACAAUUACUCUAACACCUACAAUUUCAGAUGGAAGGAUCACCCAAAUUUCAGAUGGAGCAAUAAUCAUAAUACAAGUGAUAAUCAAGGUGUUCAGCAAAAUCAACAAGCUUUGAUCCAAAAGAAACAUUCACCACUUGAAAAGACACUACAAAAAUUCAUACAGACCACCAAGAUCAGUUUUAAACAGGUAAAUAAACAACAUAAAUAAUGAGUAAGAACCAUGACGCGUCUAUAAAAAAUCUGGAGAUGCAAAUUGGUCGGAUAUCUCGGCAAAUAAUCGUUUUACCUAGUUCUAGUGGAGGAUUUACAUGUAACACUGUGGAUAAUCCUAAAAAUGAGACUUGCAAGGCUUUAUAAACAUGUUUUGAGGUAAUCACCAACAGGGGUGAGGAUGAAAUAGUGGGAAAUGACUUGAUUGAAGAGGAAGAAGUAGGGACUGAGAAGGAGGAAAGUAAAAAUCAGAGUGACCAAGCUGAGAAGAGAUCACCAUUUAGAAAUUAAUAAACAAAAACUCAUGAGCUACCCGACUACAUAAAAUUUCCAUACCCAAUCAUUAAGAAGAAACCACUAUAGGGAGAUGAGGCACGGUUGUUUGUCAGGUUUAAAGAGAUGUUGAGUAAGCUUCAGGUAAGUAUUUCUUUUCAUGAAGUUUUAGAGCUAAUUCCCAAGUUUUCUAAACUUAUGAAGGCAUUGUUAAAUGGUACAAAGUAGAAUAUGGAAAAAGAGUGAGUAAACAUGAUUGCGAAAUGCGAUACGACAUUGCCCCAAACAAUGCCACCAAAGCUGAAAUAUCCAAGUAAGUUUACCAUCUCUUUCACAACGGGUGGGGUAAAGAUUCCACAUGCUGUAUGUGAUUUAGGAUCGAGUAUCAAUGUAAUACCCCUUAAUAAGGAUAAAGAAUUGAAUUUGGGAGAGAUCAUACUGAGUAAUAUGACUUUUACCUUGGUUGAUGUAUUUGUUAAUCACCCUCAUGGUAUCUUAUAAGACGUGUUAGUACAUGUCAAUGGUCUACUUUUUCCUGCAGCUCUUUGUCAUGGUUAGUUGUAUCAGAAGAGGUUGAAGAUGGCAUUUGAUAAGAAGGUGCGUCCUCAGAAUCUCGAAGUAGAAGACUUAGUAUUGAAGAAGAUUAUGCCGAUUCACAAAGAGUCAUGGGGAAAGUGGCCCCCUAAUUAUGAAUGGCCAUAUGUUGUGAGAAAGGUUUUCUCUGGAGGAACCUUGAUUCUCUAAACUAUGGAUGGUGAAGAUCUUGCUUCGCGAGUCAAUGUAGACACAAUAAAAAAAUACUUCUCCCUAAAGAAUAGAUCCUCUAGGUUUAAAAUCUGAAAAGACGACUUAGGGAAAAAGGGACAUCCCGGUGGACCACAAAAAGAAAGGUCCGGGCACAAAUUAUGGAUAAAAUCAAAAGAAUUGAAUUAACCCGCCCAAAUGAAACCCGAAAGGGCGACUUAGGUAAAAAAAAAGGCAUCCUGGUAUACUUAAAACUCGAAAGGGCAGUCUAGGAAAAAAUUAGGGAUUUAAAAGGAAAGAGGUUGUGGUCUAUCAAGAAUAUGUGAAUCUCUCACUACAAACAUGGGAACCUCGAAUGGAAAGAAUUGAUCCAGUCACUCUAUUUAGAGGCAGAGUACAAGGAGAAUUGAGGAUAUAAGGGUUAUAUAAGAAUCGAAACUCAAUGGAAAUCUGAGCUUUUCUCAUUGUUGUUGUAUUUUUACUAUUUUUUGGCAGUUACCUCUUUUAGGAAUUGCUUCCUCGUAUAAUCAUCCAUUCAUGGACCCAUUUCUUAUUAAUAAAAUUUUAUUUUACCAAAAAUUGCUCCUCAUUUUAUUUUUCUGCUUGUUUGUAAAAUGUGAAUUUAUUUUUAAUAAACAAUGCAUUGAAAAUUUUGGGGAUAACAACAAAAGAAUUUGAAAGAAAACAUGUAUUUACUUUGAUUUUAAUAUGACUAAAGGGCGGACACAAUUUCCAAUUACUGCUCAUAGUACGCCGAGAUCACAGAGGUCACAUUGAUAUGAAAGGUUAUGAGAAUCGUCAUUCUCUCAAGGUAAUCAUAUUCAGUUUGCUUAAAAUCAGCAUAAGGCACUAGGUGAUCCAGAUUAACCUCAUUACUUCCAAGUAGUAUCAAGAAGCCAUGAUGUCGGAAAGUCAAAUCCUUUCUUCUAUUGAACCCAAAGCCCAACCCCUGUUGGCAUCUUAGGAGACCUAGCCUCCAUCUAAUCUUACCUACCAUAUAAUCUCGAGCAUACGUCGGCAUCUUGCAUAAACAAUCAUCAUUGCAUCGUGAAACGCAUAUCAUAUUCCAUCAAAAUGUAGAAUUACUCCAUGCAAAAUCAAACAUGCAUAAGCUACACGAAAGUCUUUCUCGAAAGCAUAAAUAAAUCUCGGUUGGAACAAUUCUGUUUCCCCAACUGAGAAUGUUAUCUCCAUGAAACUCUUGAUUGGUAUUUCUACAAGGUUCCCUAGAGUAUUCCCUAUUUGUUUUCCUUUUGUAAGUAACUUUUGACCUUUCUUCAGUCAUUUACCUUUUUUCUUCGUACCAAUCUCCAUGACUUUUGCAUGGAUAAGAUUUUAUUGAGACAACUUACCUUUUGUGAGUUCCUUCGUUGUCUUUCACGCAAAACCGCGUGUCGCUGCUUACCUUUUGUAAGUCCCCUUGUUUCCUUUUGCACGAGAAGGAUACCCUUGUCAGAACUUUGCACCAUGUUUUCUGUUGAAACACUUGAUGUAGGUUUGGUGAAUCCUAGGGUUUGGGUAACCAUUGUUCGAGAACUUCAUCCCCACUGUUAUGCCUGUGGGACAUAAUGAGGUUUCCGUGCCUAUUGCAAAUUCCUCAUCUGUCAGAGCGUGCCAAAGCUCAUGUUCAUCUGGAAAAUCUUUCCAAAGUCUAAAUUCCGUAUGGAAAAACAUCUUUAAAUCUUUUAUUUUCCUUUUGUAAAUAUUUGUGACCUUUCGUCUGUUGCUUACCUUUUGUAAUUAUCCCUCUUGCAUUCUGCAAGUCUUCCCUUCCUUUUGCAUGGAAAAGAUUUUGCUGCCUUUUGCAUGAAAUCAUGUCUUUUUGCUUACCUUUUGUAAGUCCUCGUUUCCCUUUGCAUGAGAAAGUUAUCCUUGAUAAAUUUUGCAUGUUGAUUUAUUUUGAAAUACUUGGUGUAGGUUUGAUGAGUCCCAAAGUGGUAGAGAUAUUUUAAAAGCUUCAUCCCCUCUGUUACGCUUGAGAGACGUCAUGAGGUUUUCAUGCCUACUGCAAAGUUCCCUCUUCCUUUUGCAUGAGGAUUAUCAUCUCUUUUACUUACCUUUUAUAAGUUCCCCUUGCCUUUUGCAUGGGAAGUCUCUUCUUUCAUGCUUACCUUUUGCGAGUUCCCUUUUUUUUUCCUUUCGUAAGUAUCCUUUUCCUUUGCAUGGGAAGUCUCUCUUUCACUUACCUUACCUUUUGUAAGUCCCCAUUUAUCUUUUUCAUAAAUACUAUCAUCCAUAACUGCUUUCCUUUUGCAAGUCCCCUCAUCCUUUUGUGCGAGGAUUUCUAUUCCGAAACCUGCUUACCUUUAUUAAGUACCCCCUGCCUUUUGAAUGAGAAUUUCGCUUAUCAGUUUACCGGUUAUAAGUCCCUUAUACCUUUUGUAUAAGAGAAUUACUUCAUCCUAUACUUGCCUUUUGCAAGUCCUCCGCCUUUUUCACGAGAGAUACCCUUCACCCCCUUUUGUAUGAGGGAUUGCAUUUUCUGUUCACUUCACCAAGUAUACCUAGCCUUUUUCUAAGGGAUUGUCGUAGCCUUUUACAAGAGAAUACCAAUUACUCCAAUUUUUCUUGACCUUUUGUCGAGAAAUUCUCAUUUCCUUUUGCGUGAGGAAUCAUAUUCAUAUCCAAUUUUUCUUAACCUUUUGUUAAGAAGUUUCUCAACACCUUUUAUGUAAGAAAUGUAUUUCAUCUCUCUUCUUAACCUUUUAUUGAUAAGUAUUCUUAUUACCUUUUGUAUGAAAAGUCAACACCCUAUCAUUUCUUCUUGGCCUUUCGUUAAGAAGUCCUCGUUACCUUUUGCAUGAGAAGUUUCCACCCUCAUUCUUACCAUUUUGUUAAGGAGUUUCUCAUUACCUUUUGUAUGAGAAAUCCCGUCAAACUUUCUUCUUUACCUUUUGUUGAGGAGUUUCUCAUUUUCUUUUGAAUGAGAAAUCAUUUCCAUCUUCACGCGUCUUCUUAGCCUUACGCUAAGGAGUUUCUCAUUACCUUUUGCAUGAGAAAUCCCUUCCAGAUUUCUUAUUAACCUUUUUUUAACGAGUUUCUCAUCGCUUUUUGCAUGAGAAAUCAUAUCCAUCUUCAUGCGUCUUCUUAGCCUUUCACUAAGGAGUUUCUCAGUACCUUUUGUAUGAGAAAUCCAUUCCUUUUUUCUUAUUAACCUUUUGUCAAGAAGGUCUCACUACCUUUUCUAUGAGAAUUUCAAUCCCCAAUAUACCUAUUGCCGAAGAGUUCUCAUUACCUUUUGUAUGAGAAUCUCAUUCCCAUCUUUCUUCUUGACUUUUUGUUAAGGAGUUUUCAUUACCUUUUGUAUGAGAAGUUCAUUUCUAGAUUUACCCUUAACCUUUUGUUAAGGAGUCCUCAUCACCUUUUGUGUGAGAAACUUGUCCAUCUUUCUUCUUAACGGAAGUUCUCAUUUCUCUUGCUAAGGAGUUGUUGCUACCUUUUGUGCAAGAAAACAAUAUCUCCAGCGAAGUCGUCCUUCACCUUCAUCGUUCUUCUUAACCUUUUGUGAAGGUAUUCUCAUUGCCUUUUUCAUGAGAAAUCACAUUCACCUUCGUGUGCUUUCUUAGCCUUUUGCUGAGAUUUCUCAUAUGCCUUUUGCAUAAGGAAACAUUACACCCCCUUUGUUUGCCUUUUGCAAGUCUCCUGUACCUUUUGUAGCAGGUAGUUUAACCAUUUCCCAAUCAAGUUACUUGCCUUUUGCAAGACGUCCUUUUCCUUUCGCAAAAUAUUUCAGUUUACCUUUGUAUCCUCUAUUACUUUCCUUUCGCAAAUACACGGUCUUCUUACAUUCGUGGAGAUCAAGCCUGAGGAGUUGUGAUGCUACAUUCAUUAUUGAGAGAUCAUCGUGGUGAUCAAAUGAUCAAAACCCUAACCAAGGACAAUUGGUGCUUGAGACCUUGGAAAUUACAUUAUGGUUUUCAUUCAUUGCCCAAACCCUGGUUUCUUAAUCUUGAAGAUGGUUGAAUCUCGUGGUUUAUUUUGAGGGAUUGUAAACCCUAGCUUGGCUCUUGGAAUUGGUGAUUUUCUACCCACUUGGCUUGAGGUUUGGUUAUUGGUUGACUUGGAGUUUGACCUAGCUAAACCCUAGUUCAUGGUACCAUCUGAUUGGUCAAAUAUGUGCUUGCAUUCAUGUUCUAUUCACAUUCCAUUCACUUGAUUACAUCGGCCAUGUUACAUUGGAAAAAGAUUACAAACUUCAUCGUUUUUGCAUUAGUUGACUUUUGGUCAACUAGUUGACCAAAGUCAACACAUCAUUCUUGACUCUCUAAGAUUUGCUUCUAUGCAUUUUAUCACGUUUCAUCAUAAAAAUCAUUGUUCCAUUGGUUUGUUCAUGACUUUGGGGCUUGGUCCAUUUUUAGGUCAAACCUUCAUUUGGACCUGCUUGUUUUUGCCACUUUUUAGUUUUUCAUCUCAUUAAUCAUUGACUAAACCAUUUUUAGCCAAAUUCAAUUAAAUUCAACCUUUAAUUCCCAUCAUAUCACAUAUAUAAUUCAAAUUCCAUAUAACCAUCUCAUACAAAAUCACAUUCAUUGAACCUCUGAGUUUCAUUUUUAACAGGAUUGUCACGUGCUUAAAUUCAUGUUGAACUCAUUAAUUGAUGUGGCUUUGACUCAUGUGUUGCUGACUCAGCUCCCGGUCAGAUUUUGGCCUUAUCCAAUUGUGUUUCAUGAGUUGAUUCUCGUUGGGCCAUGUCUUGGGCUUCUUGGCCAAUAUUGUUGAAUAUUGUAUAAAUGUAAUAGCGCACCCCCUUCCUAACUGCAUGUAUUUGGAUUUUGGGCCCCUAUUUGGGCCUAGGUGCAUCUGCUUCUGGAGCCUCUGUUUUGCCUUCUGAUCCCCCUAUUUGGGUUUUAUUUCACAUGCUUGUUAUUUGUUUUCUUUGUUUUUGCCAUGCGUAUUUUUAUAGGUGAUUUUAGUUUAAUAAUUGAACAAAUUAAUAGGAUUUAAUAUGCUAGUAUUAAUUGGAAUUUUAAUAUGAUUAGUGGUUAGUUUAGAAUUAAUUGGUGGAUUAAUUUUUGAUCUAAUUGUUAGAAAAUGAAUUUAAAAAUAUGUGAUUGAUCAUUGUUUUAGUUUUGUUUUGAUGGUUAGGAUUGCAUGAUAAUUGUGGAUUCUAAAACAUGAUUUGAUUUAAUUCAGACAUGUCUUAGUUGUUUAAUUAUUGAAUGAUUAAUUGAUUAAUUAUGAUUGAGUUGAUUUAAUUAGUUGGUCUAGUUUGAUUCAUGAACUUUUUUCUUGAUAGAACUUUGUGGUGUUGAUUUUCUUGUUUAGAUCACACUUUAACCAUGGCAUGUUCCAUUAGAUUUAAAUGUUUAUGAUUUAACUCCUAGGGUUUAGAUAUGCAUGUUCCCCUAGUUUAAGUUGAUUGAUUAACCCUUUAAGUUUGUUGUGUGCAUGACUCAACUAUAUUUCCAUUCCCAUUGGUUAUGUUGACCAAAGUUUACUUUGAUCAACCAAAUCCUUUGCAUUGUGCAAAAAAUCCCAAGCCUAUUCAAGUGAUCAAAAGACCCUUGAUAACUUGAUAGGGCAAGUCCCUUGUGUUCAUGUUGUAAUGGACCUCAGAAGCUCAAGACCUCAAGAUUCAAGAUCAAGAUAUCAAAACUUCAAGUUAGUACAAGGGAUUCACAAUGAAGACCGAGUGGACUAAUGUUCAAGCACAACAAAGGUAUAUCAACACUUGUAACCACGAUUCAAGUUGUGUGCCACGAGCCUUAAGAAUUGGAGAAGGGUAAGAGUGGAUAAUUCCUAUCGUCAUUCUGAAUAUCUUUGGGUACGGGACAAAUGAUCCAGUUGCUUAUCGUAUUCACCUCUAUUCAUAUAAUUUAGCACAAUUGGAAUCAAAUGAUUGUCAAGUCUUCUUCUUGAAAGAAACACUUCAUCACAGGAAGCAACAAGGAGAUUCAACUUUAACACUCGUCAAUUAUGACGCAAAUUGCAUGACAUGAGCCUUAAGUAAUAUAGGAGGGGUGAGAAUGGAGAAUUUAUAUCCUCAUUCUGAAUAUCUUUGGGUAUGGGACGAAUGACCUAAUUGCUCAUCGUAUUCGCCUCUAUUCAUAGACUUUAAUGCAAUUUAAAUUGAAUAAUUGACAAGUAUUUCUACACAGAUGUGGGAUGCAGACUGAAGAUCAAAUUUCAACCUUCUAGGGUUUUUCUUCCUUUUCUUUUAUUUCUCUUAUAAGACUAAAACCAUUUUGUGAAUAAACUCAAAAACAAAUAACAAUACGAUUAUAAUUGUACGCCAUGGGCCUUAAGAAAUAGAGAAGGGUGAGAGUGGAGAAUUUCUAUCCUUAUUUUGAAUAUCUUUGGGUAUGGGACGAAUGACCCAGUUGCUCAUCGUUUUCACAUUCAUUCAUAAACUUUAGCAUGAUUCAAAUCAAGACUUUCUUUUCAGAAUAAAAUCAAACUCACCUCAUCAAACUCAUUUUUUCCUUUGGGCAUCAUUAUUUGUUUAAUUUUUUUCAGAAAGGACGUGUUACUUCCGUUCUACCGUAAAUGAAGCUUAAGCCUCAGUGUGUGAGCAUACAUGCAAUAUUUAACUGCUAGAGUACGAUCCAUGCACAUCCAUUAUAUCGCAAACAAACAAAUGCUUAAAGUCUCUUAUGCUCGAACGUACAAGUCAGUUGACAGUAGCACGUGAACGUUAACACUGUUUAUUAAAAACAACUAAAGCAUUCGUCUUAGUUCCACGAACUACAGAGCUUUGAUUUCCUUAUUGCACUAUGAGGAUACGUAGGCACGAGGGCCCCAAACCUUGGCAAGCACCCAAAUUAUUAAACCUUUUUUCCCCUUUCGCGAGUAAUCUUUAGAUAAUAACGCCUGUUCUUUCAAAGAACAAUCAAAAUGGUUCCCAUUGAAUACAACAGAUGUGAGAGAUGCUAAUACCUUCCCCUUGCAUAACGGAUUCCCUUACUCUUUUUCUCUUUCCCUAAAUUUAACCGAUGUUUUCCCUUUCCUUCGGAAAUAAAUAAAGUUCGAUAACAACUUUGUUGUAUCUUUGAGCAUGUGAUGUGCUCAGGUAUAUUUCACGCAACUUCAAUCAUGACUUCAGGAUCAUUUUAAAUUUGGACCACCUCCUUAGUUCUGGUCAGGAAGUCAAAGUCAAAGUCAAUGAUGAUUUUUUGAUAUCCUUGCCAUGAUAUAGGGAAGCGAGAGACACUAUUCGUCCCAGUUGUGACCAUAAAGGCAUCGUCUCGUCCUCUAACUCUUAUCGAUUUGUCAUUCCAUUCUCUAUAUUAUUUUGAAUGGGGGUUGAAAAUUUUCCUUCAUGAUAGGUAGGGUAUAUAAGACAAUCCAACAAUUAGUAUCACAUAAAGAAAAAAAAUACCCAAACGGUAGAGAAAACUUCUAAUCGCCAGUAGAUAAUUUUGAAUGCCCUAAUCAUACUCUAGAUGUUGAGUGUAAUAUGGGAAGGAGUGUUGUUUUCAGUAGCUAGAAACUUAACUUCAAAUAACGUGAAGGGUAUUUUUAUGUGGCUCAUAUGUAAGCAAUUAACUAGUAUUGUAUAUUCUACAUGGAAAAGUUUCUAACAUAAUUUUUUUCAAAAGGAAGCGAAAAACUACUAUUAAUUAAAAUCAUGCUAAGGACUAUUAUUAGGUUAGUAUUUUAUGAUAAAUUCCAACCUACUCAAAAGAAAUUAAAAAAGAUAAUAAUAAAAGAUAUAACAAGGUGUAAGUAGAAUAAUUCAAUUGAUAGGCGUUAUUUGAGUUAAAUAAAUUUAAAAGGUUGGUUUAAAGUUUAAUAUCUAUCAGCGUUAUUUAUUUAUUUACUAUUAUAAAUAAAGUAUUAAUAUUUUAUAAAAUUAACAUCUUGAAAAAAUAUAAUAAGUGGUAUUCUCACCGUCUCAAAUUUAUUUUUCUCUUUAAUUGUUAUACAUUCUUUAAUAUAAUAAUUAUCUUUUAAUUUCAAUUAUAAAAUGAUUGUUAUACAUUAAAAUAAUUUUAUUCAUAAUCAAUAAUAAAGUAGCACAUAAGUUAAAGUAUAAAAAUAAGAAUAAAAUAAUAAAACAAAAUAUAAAUUCUAGAUUGAUAUUUAAAAAAAAUUAUUAAUAAAUUAAAACAACAAAGAUUAUGCAUAUUGUGAUAAAGAGGAGUAUUUACUAGGAGUAACAAUUAUUUAGAUAUUAUAAAAAUUAAAAGUGAUAAAAAAGAUACUUAACAAAAAAAAGAAAAGUCAGACUUUGAUUAUUCAAACUUUCAAAGUUGAUGGCUCUUAUAAUUGAAGUCGUUAUUCGUAGUUAUUAGAGAAUUGUGGAGUACAUGCUACAGUAUCCUUAUAAUUGAUUUUGGGGUCCAGCUUUUGUUUAUUGUCACACUCCACGAUAUCUCUUUAUACAAUAAUUGACAAACCAUAUGAUAAAACUUUGAACACUAAAAACUUUGAACACUAAAAAAGGAAAAAACAUUUACAAAAUUCUCCUAAAUCUAGACUAUUAAAGGACACAAUAAAUAAAUAAAUGGCGAAAUGUAAGUUUACUUUGAAAAUUAUUUUGUUUGAAAUUUCCACGGUAUCCAAUCAUAUUAGAGUUCUAGUUUGACCCAAAGCAUGCCACAAAAUAAUUCAGACUCCCUCCAUUGUUUUUCAUAAAUAUUUAUUUUAUUUUUUAAAUUUAUUAAAUAAUAUAUAUAUAUAUAUAUAUAUAUAUAUAUAUAUAUAUAGAUAUAGAUAUAUAUAAUUUAUAUAUUAGUUCAAAUAUAUUAUUUAUUUAAUAAAUUUAAAAAGUAAAAUUUAUUUAUAAAAAAAGAAUAUUGGGAGCGGGUCUAAUACGUGACUUAUUUAGGAAGUACGCGGUCUAGAAAACAAGCAUUCUAGAAAAUACGGAGUCAUUAUUUGGUAAUUCAUCCAUCUCACAGAGAUUCAAUAAAGUUUUACGUCGUGCUAAAAAUGAUGGACAAUCAAUUCUCUUGAGAGUAUUCCAAUAUGGCAAGAAGUAUGCAAUUGCGUUAAUGACAAUAAAUGUAAUGUCAAUAGUCUCAUAGUCUCACGUACAAAGUGGUACUCACUUAAAAAGUAUUUAUAAAGACUUAAGACAUUAAAAUAAAAUAAAAGAGUUAAAGAGGAUAAAAUUUCACAUGGACAAAUAUGGUAGUCCCCAAUAUUAUGCCACAUGUCUCAUCCAAACAACUCAUCGUCGGUGUCGCCACCGGCUCCGAAAUCGGGUCUGAGGGCGUGGGCAUAAAGGCGUUAGUGGUGGCUUGAAGGGGGCACUUGAACACUUAGGCAUGAUGCAUUGAUGAAAAUGUGUUGUUUCAUCAAGGGAGAACCAUUGCAAACUUAUGCUGAAAAUGUGUUGUUUCAUCAAGAGUUGCAACCUUAUGAAAAAGCACAAAAACGAGAGUACUUGAAAAUAUAUUAUUCAGUAUUAAAAAAUAAUUACCAAAAACUGUGCAUCCUCUUCACGUAAUUCCAAACACUUUUCCAUGCAUUCGAAUCUUCACCAGUCUUGUGCAGAUUCGAUAAGAAGGCUGAACAAUCCUAGGUAUUCUUGCGUUCUAACUCUAAGACUAAAACGAGAGUACUUGAAAUACUUUUAAGAAAAAUGAUACCAUUCACGAUUCAGAUCUGGAUCCGUUCAACCUUAACGAUUUAUAUAACAGUCUUAAAAGUAUUCAAAUAAUGGCUUCUGACGUUGUAGUUUCAAGCAUCAAAUUUAUGAACCAGAACCUUGUCAAGUUGGAUUGCUUUGAUGGAACCAACUUCACCAGAUGACUAAAUAAGAUGACAUUCCUACUGAUCGCUCUUAAGGUUAACUAUGUCUCAGAUCCCAACUUAACACCAAUUCCUGAACUAACCGAGGAUGACUAUGAUGAACUCAAGAAGGAGUGUAAGAAACAUAAAGAGGACGAAUUUCUAUGUCGUGGACAUAUCCUGAAUACGCUAUUUGAUCGUCUUUAAGACCUUUACAUGGAUACUCAGUCUACAACAGAAAUAUGGAAAGCACUUGAAUUUAGAUUCAAGGCCGAAGAGGAAGGUACGAAAAAAAAUUUAAUUUCUAAAUAUUUUGAUUUUAAAAUGAUAGACUCCAAACCAAUUCUUCCCCAAAUGCACAAGUUACAAGUUCUUGUGAAUAAAAUAAAAGCUGUGAAAAUAGACAUUCCUAAAACUUUUCAAGUAGAUGCAAUCAUUGCAAAGUUGUCACCUUCGUGGAAAGUCUAUAGAAAGAAAUUGAUGCAUAGUUAUCAGGACUUCUCUCUGGAGAAAAUACAAAAGCACCUUCGAAUCGAGGAGAAAUCAAAGGACAUGGAGAAAUCAGAGUCCACUAGAUUUUCCAAAUUCAAUGUUGUUAUCACUAAAGGAAAAAAGAAACAUGAUGGCAUGAAGAACCAUCUUGUCCCAAGGAAGGAACAUAAUAAGUUCAAGAAUGUUGGCGGUUCGAAAGGUCCAAAAAAUGAAUGUUCCAUGUGCGGUAAAUCCGGCCACUAUGCUCGAGACUACAGGCACAACAAGUCCAAAAAUGAGAUCAAUGUGGUUCAUGCAAAUGACGACAUAAUCUCUACAGUGAGCGAAGUAAUGAAAAUCAAAGGAAAAAUGCAUGGAUGAUGGUAUGAUACAUGUGCUAACGUACAUGUCUCUUAUGACAAGAUCGUUUUCAAAACCUAUUCUGACGUAAAUAGUGGACAAGAAGUACAAAUGGGAAAUGAAGUACGAUCUAUAGUUGUUGGAACCGGAUCCGUCGAACUCAACUUGACUUCUGGAAAGUAAUUCACCCUUACCAAUGUGCUUCAUGUCCCAUACAUGAAUAAGAAUCUUAUUAGUGGGGGUUUGUUGGGAAAACUGGGUAUUAAAUCUGUAUAUGAAUUAGCCAAAGUUUAUAUUGACCCAUAAUGGUGUAUUUGUUGGAAAAAGAUAUUCCGCUAAGGGAAUGAUCAAACAUUGUACUAUCGACAAUAUUAUUAAUGAAAUUUCUAAUUCUUCUUACAUGCUUGAGUCUUUUUCUUUGUGGAAUAAAAGAUUAGUAUAUAUCGGUAUUAGUUCUAUGAAGAGACUAAUUAAAUAUGAUUUGAUCUCGUAUAAUAUAUAUGAUUUCAAAAAAUUUGAAUUAUGUGUUAAAUCAAAGAUGAUUAAGAAAUCUUUAAAAGUGUUAAAAGAAAUACAAAUCUACAUAAUCUUGUACAUUCAGAUUUGUGUGAAUUUAAUGACAUGUUAACCCGUGGGGGAAAUAGAUAUUUUAUUACAUUCAUCGAUGAUUCUUCUAGAUACACACAUGUAUAUCUUUUGAAGCAUAAAGAUGAUGCUUUUAAUGCAUUUAAAAUUUACAAAGUAGAAGUGGAAAAUCAAUUAAGUAAAAGUAUCAAAGUCCUUAAGAGUGAUAGGGGCGAUGAAUAUUUUUCUACCGAAUUUGAUGCAUUUUGUAAAGAACAGGAAUUAUACAUGAUUGUUCUGCAUCUCGCACACAAUAAUAAAAUGGUAUAGCCGAUAGAAAAAAUCUAACAUAUCAAGAGAAGAUGAAUGCCAUGUUAAUGAAUUUUGAAUUACCAUUAAAUUUGUGGGAUGAAGCCUUAUUGUCUGCAUGCCACAUAAUUAACAGAAUUCCUUUAAAGAAAACCAGUAUUUCUCCAUAUGAGGUAUGGAAAGACAUAACACUAAAUAUCAGUUACUCUAGAGUGUGGAUGGGUGUGACCUACUAUAAAAACAUGGAUCCAAAAAGAACUAAAUUGGAUCCUCGCGGGAUAAAAUGUGCAUUUGUAGGAUAUGCACCAAACAGUAAAGCAUAUAUACUUUUAAACUUAGAGUCUAAUGCAAUUGUAGAAUCCCGAUAUGUAGAAUUUUUUGAAAAUCUUAUUACUAAGGAUAAGGAAUAUGAGUUUUCCGCAAAUAAAGAAUCUUGUGAAGAAGAUUCUUCUCGGACUAUAGAGAUACAGCCUGAAAGUACACCUCAGAUUAUUGUAAAGAAUCUUGUGAAGAAGAUUCUUCUAGGAUAAGCAAGAGAAUCCAAAAAACAAAGGCUCUAGGACCGAAAAAAAUUGAUCCUUAACUUAUUUCCUUUUAUCUAGUUGAAAUAAAUUGUGAGAGUCAUGUUCGUAGCAUUCCUAUUAUUCUUCAAGUAGACGAUUACCCUAAAACCUACAAGGAAGCAGUUGCUUUAAAGGACUCUUCCUUUUGGAAGGACGUCAUCCAAGAUGAAAUGGAUUCAAUUAUGUCAAAUCACACUUGGAAACUUGUUUAUUUAGCAAAGGGAUCAAGGUCCAUUAGAGGAAAAUGAGUGUUUAAAAAGAUGUAUCAUAAUGAUGACACUCUAAACACUUAUAUGACCAGAUUAGUAGCAAAGGGAUUUAGACAAAAAAAGGCGUUGAUUACUUAGAACCAUAUGCACCAGUGGCAAGUACAACAGCAAUUAUAGUAUUUUUUCAAUAGUCCCUUUGAAUGACCUUAUAGUUCAUCAAAUGGAUGUUAAAACAUCAUUCCUAAAUGGAGAUCUCAAUGAGGAAAUCUACACAGAACAAUCAGAAGGCUAUAUGCUCCAUGGAAAUGAACAAAAGGUGUGUAAGCUUGUCAAAAGUUUCACUCUGUUAUACUAUCAAAUGACUUUAUUCCUAAUUCUUACGACAAAUGUUUAUACACAAAGGUGCGUAAGGACAUGGUAAUAUUCCUUUGUCUUUAUGUAGAUGACAUGUUGAUAAUUAGCAAUGAUAUGAAUGUAAUUUUAGAGACAAAGAGGUUUCUAACUUCCACAUUUAAGAUGAAAGAUAUUGGACUAGUUGGCACAAUUUUAGGGAUCAAAGUAAAGCGAAAUAGGGAGGGUUAUGAACUUAGUCAAACAAAUUAUAUUGAAAAAAUGCUUGUUAAGUUUAAACAAGUAACUACUCCAUUUGAUCAUGGCGUCAAACUUCAAGAGAACAAUGGAAUAGUAGUGGCUCAAUUAGAAUAUGAAAGUGCAAUAGGGUAUCUUAUGUAUUUAAUGCAAUGUACCAGACCCGAUAUAUCACUUGCAGUUAGUAAAAUGAGUAGAUUUACUAGUAAUCCAAAUAAUGAACAUUGGAAGGCAAUCAAAAGGAUUUUUGGCUAUCUACUAAAAACCAAAAAUCUUGGACUUGACUAUGGUAUGUUCCCUUCCAUACUAGAAGGAUAUACCAAUGCGAGUUGGAUAUCUAAUGCGGGUGAUCACAAAUCCACAACUGGGUGGAUAUUUACACUAUCCGGAGGAGAAAUUUCUUGGAAGAGAAAGAAACAAACAUGCAUUACUCUUCCAACCAUGAAAUCAGAGUUCGUGGCUCUUGCUUCUGCUGGUCAAGAAGCAGAAUGGUUAAGGAACCUUGUGUUGGAAGUUCCAAUGGCGAAAGAAAAUGUUUCAAAGGUUUUGAUAUAGUGCGAUAGCCAAACCACUUUAGCUAGAGCAUUCACCAAAAUGUAUAAUGAAAAGUCUAGACACAUAUGACUUAGACACUCCUUCUUGAGAAAAUUGAUUAAGGAUGAAAUCAUUUCACUCACCUAUAUACGAACGAGAUAUAAUUUGUCUGAUCCAUUUACUAAGCCAUUGGUCAGAGACUUAGUAAAGACAACCUCAAGAGAUAUGAGGUUGAAACUCCUUGAAUAAGAGUCCUAACAACGGUGACAACCCAACCUUACGUUAAUAGAACAUUAACCUCAAGAGUCAAUGGGUAACAACAAGUUGUUGAUUUGGAUGUUUGUCGAACAUUUGAUAAUAAUGUUGACUAUUUUAAAUUGAGGGAUGGGUUUUCCAAAACUCUUAAUGAAGUUCAGUGUCGAGAAUAAGUAUCUCAUGGAAAAGGAUACAACAUGAACUUCACCUAUGUGAAUUUCGAGAUGGUGUCGUCUCAAAGUGAGAGUUGGAGUUUCUUUCACGAAAAAUUCAUGAAACAGGAAAGCACAUGGCCAUAAAUAAGUGCUAGGCGAUAUGUGUAGAGGAAGAACCCUUAAAGAAUGUGUGUAAGGUAACGUCGGUCUAAUCAUAUGGAUUAAUGGCUUAAAAGCAUUGCUACCUAACAUUCCAAUUAGACUUUGUGUUGUCCUCGCUAAGGUUAAGUUUUAAAUCGAAAGAUACCUAACUGUAUUAACAUUAUUUAUACAUCAUUUUCUGGAAUUAGACUUGUCAUCAUUGGAACAAGUAGGGGGUUGUUGGAAAUUAUGGACAAUCAAUGUCCAUAUAAGUGUUCCAAUAUGACAAGAAAUGUGAAAUUCAGUUAAUAAAAAUAAAUAUAAUGUCAAUAGUCCCACAUAGAAAGUGGUACUCAAUUUAAAAAAAUUUAUAAAGACUUAAAACAUUAAACUCAACAAAAGAAGCUAAAGAGGAUAAAGUGUCAUGUGGACAAAUGUGGGGUCCCAAAUAUUAUGCUACAUGUCUCAUCAAAACAACCCCUAACCGGUAUCGCCAUUGGCAACACUGGCUCUGGCUCCAGGACCAGGUCCGAGGACGCAGACGUAGAGGCGCUAGUGGCGACUUUUGGGGGCACUUGAGCAUGUUGCAUUCGAAUCUUCAUCAGUCUUAUGCAGAUUCGAUUAAAAUGUUGAAUUAUCCGGCAUAUUCUUGCUUUCCAGCUCUAAGAAUAAAAAGAGAAUAUUUGAAAUACAUUUAAGGAAAAUGACACCAUUCAAAAUUCAGACCUGAAUCCAUUCAACCUUAAUGAUUUAUAUAAAACAUUGGUUGUUGAUUGUCUAACACAUCCCUCGUCUCUUUAUUAGUUGAUUAUUACAUUUGAUUAGAAUCAUUUUCUAUUUGAGCAUUUAAUUUUUUUUAGAGAUAUCUUAAACAUUUCAAACUAUAAUUUUCUUGCUAGUUGCUUGAUGAAUUAGCUUUUAUUGUCAUUUUCUAUGAGAUAUGAUGGAUAUCUCAAACUAUUUGACGCAGCAUAAAAAAACGUCAUCAUAUCAGAGUCACCUCAUAAAAUAUGGCGUCAGAUACAUAAAACUAACAUGGAAGAAGUUUUUUUAUAAAAAUUAAGUAGAGAACUAAAAAAUUGGAUUUUUUUACAAGUGACUAAAAAUUAAAAAAUUCGAAAUAAAGAGCCAAAAAAAUACAAUUCAAUAUAUUUAGAGAUGGUUGAGUCAACACGUACAAGCAUUCAAAGUUGAACAUAUUGUGCAUUAAUGUCAUUGACAUUGACCCAAUACAACCAACUCUUCAACCCUAUUUUACUUUAAGGAUAUCAUAUUUUUAUUAAUGCCCAUCUCAUAUAGAAUGGUACACUGCAUUUCAUUUGACUAAUUACUAAUACUUCGAAAACAACAUCAACACUAACACACACAUAAUUAAAAAAAAAAAUUUAAUUUGUUAAUAUAAAUAUCCAACACCGACAUAAACACAUUUACAUUGAUGCUUAAUAAUAGGUCAUAUCAUAGGUUUCUGUAUUCCUCAUUAUAAAUUUUCUUUAAACAAUAAUUGUCUAGAUGUAUUUAUUUUAUUUUAUUACAUUAUAAGUAUUAAAUAAAAAUAAUUAAUAAAAGUCGCUUAUAACUCACCCACUUUUUGCUGAAAAUUCAAAUUAAUUUCAUAUAUUUAAAUCACAACGAAUCAGAACCAAAUUCAUAAACAAACACUAACACUCUUCAUUUCCAAAAGAAUGACUUCAUCGAUCAAUGGAAGAAAACCAAGUGAUAUUUUCAAAGCACAAACUCUCUUAUACAAACACCUAUUCGCCUUCAUAGAUUCCAUGUGUCUUAAAUGGACAGUUGAAAUGAACAUACCAAAUAUCAUCCAUGAUCAUGGCCAACCAAUUUCUCUUUCAAACCUAGUUUCAAUUCUUCAUGUUCCAUCCUCCAAAGUAACGUGCAGCGUCUCAUGCGUUACCUUGCACACAAUGGAUUCUUCGAGAUUGUGACGAAUCGAGAGAUGGAAAAUGAAGAAGAAGCUUAUGCUCUAACUGUUGCAUCAGAGCUUCUGGUUAAAGAAAGUGACCUUUGUUUAGCAGCAAUGGUUGAGUGUAUUCUUGAUCCAACGCUUUCGGGUCGUAUCAUGAGCUGAAAAAGUGAUUUAAUGAGGAAUCUUACACUCUUUGGUGUUACUUUAGGAUCUGGUUUUUGGGAUUUUCUUGAUAAGAAUCCUGAUUAUAAUAGAUCGUUUAACGAAGCCAUGGCUAGUGAUUCUAAAAUGAUAAACUUGGCUUUGAGGGAUUGUGAUUUUGUGUUUGAAGAGUUGGAAUCGAUUGUGGAUGUUGGUGGUGGAACUGGAACAACUGCUAAGAUUAUUUGUGAGACAUUUCCUAAGUUGAAAUGUGUUGUUUUUGAUAGGCCACAGGUUGUUGAGAAUUUAUCAGACACAAACAAUCUGAGCUAUGUUGGUGGUGACAUGUUCUCAUCUAUUCCUAAUGCUGAUGCUGUUCUUCUU
RNAcentral lists this long non-coding RNA (28023 nucleotides) under Lathyrus oleraceus (garden pea). Its description in RNAcentral is "Pisum sativum (pea) long non-coding RNA (PSAT_LNC037561)". The record is from RNAcentral. Lineage: Eukaryota; Viridiplantae; Streptophyta; Magnoliopsida; Fabales; Fabaceae.